UGGAAAGCUAGGAUUAUUGAUAUUGGUUAGAAAGGAAACUGAGGUUCCACAGCAGCAGUCUAAGGAUCGACCCAAUUCUGUAGGACAUUGGGCAUGAAGGCUUGUGUACUGGACGCCCACAACCAAGAUGGCCGAGAUGCAGGCGGAAGUCGACACGCUUUGUCCCUCUAGGGACGCUCUUUCUCUCUUGGUGGCUGGGCUCUCGAUGGUGGCCCUCCAUGAAGAGGGUGGAGGUGUAUUCCGCUAGCUAGUGGUGAAGGAGCUCUUGUACCUGCCGAAUUGGGGGAGGGAGUUGGUAUGUCUCUCAGAACCCUUUCUUUGUAGUCCGAGGGUGAGUGACAGUGGCGGGAAAGGGAUGGAAGGGAGCAAUUUCGUGCCUAGCCAGUGGCAAGGUGCAGGCUAGCGUGUGCCAGGCAGUUCGGUUAUAGCCGUCCCGGUGCACGGGUCUCCUCCCUGUGAGGAGUGGAAGGAUAUUGGGAGGGCUGUUGAGCGUCUGGGCCUCGGUUUGUUUGGGGGCUGAUGUAAGGACCCCUGUCCCGAGCCGUGCGAGGUGCAGAAAGCGGUGAAUGCGGCCGUGGUCUGCACCAGCGUUGGUGUGAGCUCGGGCAGGGAAGCACUGUAGUGGGGCUUGAUUGGACCGUCAAUGGCUUCGGAAUGGCCUGGGAAACACUGGAUGGGACCUCGAGGACCUGGAAGAAACGAUAUCCUGGGGCUUUAUGACAGAACCUCUGGCCACAGUAGGGGGCGAUGGGAGCCAGCACUUUAAGGAAGCUGGACAGCUAGUAGUGUUUAAAGGCUGGAGGAAUGGGGGUUUGUCGAAGGAGUUAAUGUGUCUCACACACAGUGGAGGCCAAUCCAGGCAAGUUCAAGCUCCCAGCUGGAGACAUGCAGGAAAGAACGGUGUGGAGUGGGAGACAGUACAGGUGAGAUGAUGUCCUAGUGGGGUGUAUUGGGAGAUGUGUGUUUUGUCUGUUUUUAAGACAGGGUUUCACUGUAACCUGGCAGGAUGCAACAAGAGAUCCACCUGCCUCUGCCUCAUGAGUGCUGGUAUUAAAUCAUGCAGCACCACAUUUAGCUUGCUUCAGGGUGACGAGACUCUAAUGCUAUCUUCAUCCACAGCACUGGCCUUCAUGGACAGGAAUCAUAAAGAGACAAUGGAUUCAUCCAGCCCAAGUAUCACAAGCAGGUGACCAUGGACCACUAGGAUCAACAGCUGGAAAUGGUGUCUGGGAGCAUGUCGGGUCCUGUUGGGGAGGAGUUGGAUGAGCAGGGUAUGUGCGGCCAGGGCUUGGGGGACAUGCCUCUGGCUUCUCUGGUGCACAGGGGCUGAUUCCACCAUGGUAUUGGCUGCAUAUUGGAUACCUUUACUCAUGAACUACACCACAGAGUCUCUGAUAGAUUGGGUCCUCAGAAAGAUGGCUAACGUGCCCCACGUGACGAGUGACAAAUGACAGUACAUGCUCCUGUUGUGUGGUUUUCCUGGUCCUGAUUCAGAGAAUUUGGGAUGUUCAAUGAACCUGAACAAGCUGACCCAAGGAUCUCUUCUAGAAUUUAUUAUGUAUACAACAUUCUGCCUCCAUGUAUGUCCACAUGCCAGAAGAAGGCAC
Molecule: long non-coding RNA, 1607 nt
Organism: Arvicola amphibius (Eurasian water vole)
Lineage: Eukaryota; Metazoa; Chordata; Mammalia; Rodentia; Cricetidae
Exons: 4
Source: RefSeq, a predicted model, not a curated record